CGUGCGGCUGGCUGAUGGCGCGGCCGGCCUGCUGCGGGCCGGCGACCGGGUGGACGUCCUGGCUCCGGCGCAGGACCGCGCGG
Molecule: transfer RNA, 83 nt
Filed under: Streptomyces sp. ADI96-15
Lineage: Bacteria; Bacillati; Actinomycetota; Actinomycetes; Kitasatosporales; Streptomycetaceae
Description: tRNA-Arg
Source: RNAcentral